AGAGUUUGAUCCUGGCUCAGAGUGAACGCUGGCGGCGUGCCUAAUACAUGCAAGUCGAACGAUGAAAUUUCUAGCUUGCUAGAAGUGGAUUAGUGGCGCACGGGUGAGUAACGCAUAGGUUAUGUGCCUCUUAGUUUGGGAUAGCCAUUGGAAACGAUGAUUAAUACCAGAUACUCCCUACGGGGGAAAGAUUUGUCGCUAAGAGAUCAGCCUAUGUCCUAUCAGCUUGUUGGUAAGGUAAUGGCUUACCAAGGCUAUGACGGGUAUCCGGCCUGAGAGGGUGAACGGACACACUGGAACUGAGACACGGUCCAGACUCCUACGGGAGGCAGCAGUAGGGAAUAUUGCUCAAUGGGGGAAACCCUGAAGCAGCAACGCCGCGUGGAGGAUGAAGGUUUUAGGAUUGUAAACUCCUUUUGUUAGAGAAGAUAAUGACGGUAUCUAACGAAUAAGCACCGGCUAACUCCGUGCCAGCAGCCGCGGUAAUACGGAGGGUGCAAGCGUUACUCGGAAUCACUGGGCGUAAAGAGCGCGUAGGCGGGAUAGUCAGUCAGGUGUGAAAUCCUAUGGCUUAACCAUAGAACUGCAUUUGAAACUACUAUUCUAGAGUGUGGGAGAGGUAGGUGGAAUUCUUGGUGUAGGGGUAAAAUCCGUAGAGAUCAAGAGGAAUACUCAUUGCGAAGGCGACCUGCUGGAACAUUACUGACGCUGAUUGCGCGAAAGCGUGGGGAGCAAACAGGAUUAGAUACCCUGGUAGUCCACGCCCUAAACGAUGGAUGCUAGUUGUUGGAGGGCUUAGUCUUUCCAGUAAUGCAGCUAACGCAUUAAGCAUCCCGCCUGGGGAGUACGGUCGCAAGAUUAAAACUCAAAGGAAUAGACGGGGACCCGCACAAGCGGUGGAGCAUGUGGUUUAAUUCGAAGAUACACGAAGAACCUUACCUAGGCUUGACAUUGAGAGAAUCCGCUAGAAAUAGUGGAGUGUCUAGCUUGCUAGACCUUGAAAACAGGUGCUGCACGGCUGUCGUCAGCUCGUGUCGUGAGAUGUUGGGUUAAGUCCCGCAACGAGCGCAACCCCCUUUCUUAGUUGCUAACAGGUCAUGCUGAGAACUCUAAGGAUACUGCCUCCGUAAGGAGGAGGAAGGUGGGGACGACGUCAAGUCAUCAUGGCCCUUACGCCUAGGGCUACACACGUGCUACAAUGGGGUGCACAAAGAGAAGCAAUACUGCGAAGUGGAGCCAAUCUUCAAAACACCUCUCAGUUCGGAUUGUAGGCUGCAACUCGCCUGCAUGAAGCUGGAAUCGCUAGUAAUCGCAAAUCAGCCAUGUUGCGGUGAAUACGUUCCCGGGUCUUGUACUCACCGCCCGUCACACCAUGGGAGUUGUGUUUGCCUUAAGUCAGGAUGCUAAACCAGCUACUGCCCACGGCACACACAGCGACUGGGGUGAAGUCGUAACAAGGUAACCGUAGGUGAACCUGCGGUUGGAUCACCU
This 1491-nucleotide ribosomal RNA is filed under the name Helicobacter pylori SouthAfrica50. RNAcentral's name for it is "bacterial SSU rRNA". It matches the Rfam family "Bacterial small subunit ribosomal RNA". Lineage: Bacteria; Pseudomonadati; Campylobacterota; Epsilonproteobacteria; Campylobacterales; Helicobacteraceae. The record is from RNAcentral.